This is a long non-coding RNA of Chelonia mydas (Green sea turtle), 2760 nucleotides long. RefSeq lists it as uncharacterized. The transcript has 3 exons. Lineage: Eukaryota; Metazoa; Chordata; Testudines; Cheloniidae. The record is from RefSeq and is a predicted model, not a curated record.
CUACUUUACAAAAGGACACGUGGGUUGGGAGACGCUGAGGCACAGAAACAGAAAUCAGGUGGUUUUCCCCUAACUCUGAAGCAUUUUGCGGCAGUCACUGAGGGGCACGCAAGGAGCUAAGAGUGAGAGGGCGUGCUGCUGGAGGACUGAGGAGUACAAACGCUAUCUGGCAUCAGGAGGAAGAUCCUGGGCCCAGCCCCCAGAAGGACGACUGGGAGGUCCUCAAACCAAGGAGAAGAAGUGUGUGAGUCCAAGGAGGGCUCCAUGAAGCUGGAUGCUGGUGGCAUGCCAAAACCUGUCUGAAUCACAGCACAGCUCCAUGAAGAAGUGCUGUGGAAUCCCUUAACCAAAAGGAAGGAGUUGUGAAUCCAGGGACCACUGCAGGAGGAGACCUGUGGGAAAGACUCUCCAGAGAGGUCAGGGGCUGCAGUGGGACUGGCAGAGCUCCCUGGCACAGAGGGAAUUGGGAUCCUGAAGCUGCCUGAUGUCCAGGUAAAGCCCCCCACUUCCACCCAAGACUCCUGCACCUACCUCUGAAUCCCUCUACUCUUCGACACACCACCACAGGCCCCUGCACUCCAGCCAGAACCACUUCCCUCAGGGCUUGUCUUCAGUACCGUGCUAAUUUGGUGCCGCUGCAUUGAGGCAGUGGUGCCAAUGUAGCACACCUGGUGAAAAAGUAUUACAUCAACAGGAGAGCUCUCUCCCAUCAACAUGAUUGCUCCAACUCAACAAGAGGCAGAAGCUAUGUCAGCGGGAGAGUGUAGACACCGCUUUAAGUCAAUGUAAGUUACAUCGCUCGGGGGCUGGUUUUUUUCACACCCCUGAGCAACAUAACUUACAUCGACUUAAACAGUAGUGUAGAUAAGUUCCUAGUCUAACCUCACUAGAGCUGGGUGGGAGGGGACAGUUUUUCUACCUUGUGAAACUUUGUGAUUUUUUUUUUGAAAUUUUUUCCAUUCUGCACUCGGAUGAAACUGAGACCUUUUGAAGUUUUUCACAAAAAAAUCAGAAAGAGACCCACUCGCCCCACAGUAGCCAAUAGCCUGGUAGUUAGGGCACUCACCUGGCAUAUGGAAGACCCAGCUUCAAGUACGUGCUUGGAAUUGGGCACACCUGUGACACAUUCCAGGUGAGCAUCUUGACUACCAGGUAGUUUUGGGGUUUGGGUCUCUAUGAUUUAGACCAGAAGUUCCAUCUUAGACCUGAGAAACGUCUCCUGACAACGUUUACUCAAAACCAUAUGUUGCCACAAAAAGUUGUGGUUUUUAACAAUUGGCAUUUGCUGAUGAAACAUUUUGUUGAAAAAUUCCUGACCAGCUCUAAACCUCAUAUCCUCUAACUUUCCUACUCAGACUCUCCCAGUCAAACUCUCUUCUCUCCUAAUUUCCCCCCAGGCAGAUCUCCAGCAGCCAGAGUCAAAACUUAUUUUACUGUGAAAUUCAUAAACACCGAAUCCUAUUACAUUGUAAAAUAAAUGUGUUCAAAAAGGAGAAAAAUGGGCAUGUGGUACAUCAAAUAUUGUGUUUUGUUAUUUUUAAGAAAGUGGUAUGCAAACCAAUAAAGUUGGAAAUCUGCCCUAUUUAAUACAAUCCCCAGUUUUGUGGUGCCUUCAGUAUUGCAGCCUUUCUGCUUAGAGCUUUGUCUGCAGACUUGAUACCAGAUGGUGGGGCUGUUGAUAUGCUAUUGUAGAUUCCUUACAGCAUAACUAGGGUAUUAGUUUCAGGUUGCUUUUGUUGCAGGCAGAGAAACAUUAGUUGCUGUUAGCUGUUGUGAUCUAGUUACUAUGCGUGGUUCUGUUCAUCAUCUCUGGUCUCACUUCUACCUGUCCAUUUUUUGUGGGAAGAGGGUUGGUUCAGAUUUUGUUGUUUCUAUGUAAUUUUCCAUCAUCGUAUAUUCUUUGAUUUUCUCAUGUUGGUGAGGUCUAUAGUUGGUUUCCUUUAGUGUUUUUCUUUGCCAGAAACUGAGAUGUUUUUCAAAAGUCCUGUUGUCUCAGACUUUGCAGUGAUGAUUCUGUGGCCUGUUUGCUUAUUUAUGAAUUUUCCAUCCUCUCUUUUUUCUUUCCCAUCAUGUAAUGUUCUUUCCUGAAUCUUUAUGUAUUCCCCAAUAUAACAGAGAAGCAGUGUGCAGUAUCCCCUACUUCCUCUUCUCUAUACACACCUUAUCUUUAGUUGCACUGCUGAUUUACUAGAUCUAGUGAUAAGACCUAGUACUUGAAUCUUCAAACCUCUUUGCAAACAAUGAAUUUCCACAAAAUCCCUGACAGUUAGGUAAAUUUCCCAAUGGGCAAAGUGACACAUAAAGUUUAAAAGCUUGAUCCAAUACUCAUUAAAGCAAAUCUCUUGAUUUUUCCUUCAAAUUCUGUAUUUUAACAGUGGCACUCUUUUUCUAACUUGUUCUUCACGGCACCUCUGUGACUCUUUCAUGGUUAAAAACAGUCCAUGGAGAAAGAUCCUAAAGAAAAAAGGUUUUGGCCAUGAUAUUAAAUUUGAGAUACUGAAAGACCAUGCACAAUGUAGGACAAAAUAUUAACAAUUGUUACAUUUAUACUGAGGUUCUUUCUUUACAUUUUUGAAAAUUAUUUUUAACGCCUCAAAUGAGGAUCAAUAAUUUCUGCCAGUUUCACUUCCUGAAAGCAAAUAAAUCCAUUACAGCAUAGCAUGUUAUGAAGUAAGACAUUUCAAUGACACAGACCGCUAAAGAGAGAGUUUGAAGACCUAAAAACCACUUGGUUUGAACAGCUUAGGAAACAGAUCAUGA